Pseudoliparis swirei is the source of this 1304-nucleotide long non-coding RNA. RefSeq lists it as uncharacterized. The record is from RefSeq and is a predicted model, not a curated record. NCBI's taxonomy places the organism in Eukaryota, Metazoa, Chordata, Actinopteri, Perciformes, Liparidae. The transcript is spliced from 5 exons.
UUCUCCUGACUGUGACCUGACCAGAAGCAGCAAGAUUAACGCGGGCUCAACCCAACUAAAUUACUUCUUGGAUCAACGUUACCAAGCUCCUUGAAGCAAUCUCCUAAUGAUAGAGUAUGCACAUCACAGUGUAAAGAAUGCAGUUUGGAACUUUAUAGCAGUAUGACAUCGACACCAGGAGGGAGAGCAUCGUGAGAAGCCUUGUCAUCGACCUCAAUGAAGACCCAGACUCUUUCUUCAAGGAGUAUCUGGCCUCUGCUUCUGAGGAUGCAGAGAGGGACAUUGCAAACACUGUCAUUGUAACACUCUGUUAAUGUUGUGUCUGUCUCCCCGGUGAUUGUUCAUUCCCUGCACCUGCCCUCAGCCUCUCCUGAUUGUUUCAUUCCCUGCACCUGCCCUCAGCCUCUCCUGAUUGUUUCAUUCCCUGCACCUGCCCUCAGCCUCUCCUGAUUGUUUCAUUCCCUGCACCUGCCCCAGCCACUCAUGUCUCAAUGAUCCCCAAUGCUCCACACCUGUGUCCCCCCCCCCCAUUAUAUAUUCUCCCAGUCUUUGCCUUGUCCCCUGCCACAUUAGUGUGUGUUUUGUCCCAUGUGCCGAUUCACCUACGACCAGUCCUUCUUUAAGUAAAAAUGUUUGUUUUGUGUCACUCAAACCUGAAGUCAGCCUGUUCUUUUGCACCUGAGCUUUACCUAUGUGAACCUGUGAUAGUCAUGGGGAUUUACAUCAUCCGAAGAGAUGGGGAGCCAGAGGACAUGGGAAUUGUGAUGGAAAGCAUUAAAGUCCUAAACGACGUUGACCGUGUCAUCGUGGCGUUCAUCGUGCUGGUUGGGCUCAUUUAUGCCCUUGAUCUAAGCUUCCCAGAAAACUUCAAGUACACCUUGAGUUCCUCCAGAAGGUCUUCAUGACUUCAGAUGGGCACAAGCUGAAUUCCAAGAUACAGCAGCUGAAAAUCAAGUUGUUUGCAUGAGGUGAACACACAGAGACAAAGUGCACUGUCAAGUUUCUUCUUUCUUUGAGUUAACUGGGUGUUUAUCUUUUACCAGUUGCUGAACUGUUACAGGAGAACCGUUUCCAGGGUAUUUGAUGAGAAACAACUCUUAAAAUGUUCUUAAAAAAUAAACAUGUUAAUACCGUUCUUCUGUGUAUUGAAGUUCAAUUGAGAUGUUUUGUCACUGACUUCCUGAUCAGUCCGUUUAUUAUUUUCUAAUUCUUACAUAUAUAUAUUUUAAAUGCAGUCGUACAAGUGAUUUAUUUCGGUCGUUUUGACAAUGUUAAACUUAUUUGCAAUAAAAACGUCAACUGUG